RNAcentral lists this ribosomal RNA (165 nucleotides) under uncultured bacterium. RNAcentral describes it as "partial 16S rRNA". It matches the Rfam family "Bacterial small subunit ribosomal RNA", at positions 355 to 511 of the family's 1533-position model. The record is from RNAcentral.
UAGGGAAUCUUCGGCAAUGGGGGCAACCCUGACCGAGCAACGCCGCGUGAGUGAAGAAGGUUUUCGGAUCGUAAAGCUCUGUUGUAAGAGAAGAACGUGUGUGAGAGUGGAAAGUUCACACAGUGACGGUAACUUACCAGAAAGGGACGGCUAACUACGUGCCNG